RNAcentral lists this ribosomal RNA (253 nucleotides) under uncultured bacterium. Its description in RNAcentral is "partial 16S ribosomal RNA". It matches the Rfam family "Bacterial small subunit ribosomal RNA", at positions 524 to 776 of the family's 1533-position model. The record is from RNAcentral.
UACGAAGGGGGCUAGCGUUACUCGGAAUCACUGGGCGUAAAGCGCACGUAGGCGGACUCUUAAGUCAGGGGUGAAAUCCUGGAGCUCAACUCCAGAACUGCCUUUGAUACUGGGAGUCUUGAGUUCGGGAGAGGUGAGUGGAACUGCGAGUGUAGAGGUGAAAUUCGUAGAUAUUCGCAAGAACACCAGUGGCGAAGGCGGCUCACUGGCCCGAUACUGACGCUGAGGUGCGAAAGCGUGGGGAGCAAACAGG